CCUUCAGUGCUGCAGCAAACGCAUUAAGCACUCCGCCUGGGGAGUACGACCGCAAGGUUGAAACUCAAAGGAAUUGACGGGGGCCCGCACAAGCGGUGGAGCAUGUGGUUUAAUUCGAAGCAACGCGAAGAACCUUACCAGGUCUUGACAUCCUUUGACCACUCUAGAGAUAGAGCUUCCCCUUCGGGGGCAAAGUGACAGGUGGUGCAUGGUUGUCGUCAGCUCGUGUCGUGAGAUGUUGGGUUAAGUCCCGCAACGAGCGCAACCCUUAUUGUUAGUUGCCAUCAUUUAGUUGGGCACUCUAGCGAGACUGCCGGUGACAAACCGGAGGAAGGUGGGGAUGACGUCAAAUCAUCAUGCCCCUUAUGACCUGGGCUACACACGUGCUACAAUGGGAAGUACAACGAGUUGCGAAGUCGCGAGGCUAAGCUAAUCUCUUAAAGCUUCUCUCAGUUCGGAUUGUAGGCUGCAACUCGCCUACAUGAAGCCGGAAUCGCUAGUAAUCGCGGAUCAGCACGCCGCGGUGAAUACGUUCCCGGGCCUUGUACACACCGCCCGUCACACCACGAGAGUUUGUAACACCCGAAGUCGGUGAGGUAACCUUU
Molecule: ribosomal RNA, 605 nt
Filed under: Enterococcus gallinarum
Lineage: Bacteria; Bacillati; Bacillota; Bacilli; Lactobacillales; Enterococcaceae
Description: bacterial SSU rRNA
Rfam family: Bacterial small subunit ribosomal RNA
Source: RNAcentral